This is a long non-coding RNA of Gymnodraco acuticeps, 449 nucleotides long. RefSeq lists it as uncharacterized. The transcript has 4 exons. NCBI's taxonomy places the organism in Eukaryota, Metazoa, Chordata, Actinopteri, Perciformes, Bathydraconidae. The record is from RefSeq and is a predicted model, not a curated record.
AUGCAGGGAGAAGGCGCACCACCGAGAAGGUUUUGGCAACGUACCACUGGUCCACUAUGCGGGAGGACGUGAAGAAAUGGGUUGAUGAGUGUCCCCGCUGCCAGCAACACGAGGUCAUUAAAACGGUUGCACCCGUACUGCAUCCCAUUCAUGUUCCCGAGGCAUGGACUGUCCUUGGUGUGGAUCUCAUUGGCCCACUUCCCUCCACUGCUAAGGGCAAAAGAUACAUUCUAACAGCGAUUCUAACUUCACGAAGUGGGUGGUAGCAAAAACGCUCUACCACAAAACAGCUGUUGAGGUCUCAAAAAAGAUUGUAAAUAUUCUUCUCGAUUUCGGUCUUGUCGAGAAGAUCAUUACCGACCAAGGACGGGAAUUUGUCAAUGAGGUCAACCGUGGUGUUUUUGAUGCACUGGGUGUAAAACACUGCAUCACUUCAGCGUACCAUCCCC